This 373-nucleotide ribosomal RNA is filed under the name uncultured organism. RNAcentral describes it as "partial 16S ribosomal RNA". It matches the Rfam family "Bacterial small subunit ribosomal RNA", at positions 527 to 896 of the family's 1533-position model. The record is from RNAcentral.
GGGGGGGGCAAGCGUUGUUCGGAAUUACUGGGCGUAAAGGGCGCGUAGGCGGUCCCGCAAGUCCUCCGUGAAAUCCCACAGCUCAACUGUGGAACUGCGAGGGAAACUGCAGGACUUGAGUCCGGGAGAGGAGAGUGGAAUUCCCAGUGUAGCGGUGAAAUGCGUAGAUAUUGGGAGGAACACCGGUGGCGAAGGCGGCUCUCUGGACCGGUACUGACGCUGAGGCGCGAAAGCUAGGGGAGCAAACGGGAUUAGAUACCCCGGGUAGUCCUAGCCUUAAACGAUGAGCACUUGGUGUGGCGGGUAUCGACCCCCUGCCGUGCCGAAGCUAACGCAUUAAGUGCUCCGCCUGGGGAGUACGGUCGCAAGGCUG